CAUGUAACCAUCCUAUAUGCCGUGCAGUAAUAUUUUGAGAGCUGACGAUCUAGACUUUGUUUCCUUCUUAAGUCGAACAAGGCUAUAGCACCCUUGUCGAAGGGCCCAUCUUGCGCCAACAGCAGCACUCACAUCAUAAUAACAACAAGAGGCACAUGGCUGAAAGCAACAACUGCCUGCCGUUGCGGCAUCCAGAGCACAUGGUCAAGCGAGCCCUGGGUAGAAAAUAGGUCACUGGGAAGCACCCUCCUGUGCUCAGCCAAUCUCUUUUAGGGCAUGAAUGUUGCAAAGGAGCUUCGCAUGUUUGACAUCAUGAGGGUGUCUACCCUGACGAAAUCACAGUAUAUAACGGCACUGUCAUGUUGUCAGCCCCGACGAACAGCAACUACGACGAGGCAGUGGCAUCGACUAUGACUCGUGGCGAGGUGGCGAGGAAGAGGACGGAAGAACAGACUGGCAGUUCGUGCAUGGACUUGGAACGGGGAGAAUAAACCCUGGACACUCUGACGUUGUUGUCUGGUUGUAGGUCCGGGAGAGGUUUAACUGGCGCGGUCGACGUUAUCACCCAACCUCACGCUCCUAACAGGACAGGUUGACGGAGUUUCUCGGCACAACCUACGUCACGACUCUGAUCACUCCGAAGCAAGGGCAGCUCGGCGGACCGGACUUCUGGCCUGCCGAUCUCAGGGAACGGCAAUCACCUUGGGCUGUGUGGUAUCGGCGGCAGCACCAGAAUUCUAGCAGUGGCGGACAGGCGGCGAGUUCAGGGACGGCACACCUGAAGAACAGUUCUCAUCUUCAUCAAGAUGACAGGUCAUUGUUGGGUCUGCAUUAUUAUUGCUCCUGUAAUUCUUUCACCAACAGAGAAUACAAAAGUACACAAAUGGUUUUACAACGCUAUCAAGUACGUCAAAACAUCAAAGGGCAGGGAGCCCUACUCUAUUUCCUAAAUCC
Molecule: long non-coding RNA, 954 nt
Organism: Ornithodoros turicata
Lineage: Eukaryota; Metazoa; Arthropoda; Arachnida; Ixodida; Argasidae
Exons: 3
Source: RefSeq, a predicted model, not a curated record